Molecule: ribosomal RNA, 650 nt
Filed under: uncultured bacterium
Lineage: Bacteria
Description: bacterial SSU rRNA
Rfam family: Bacterial small subunit ribosomal RNA
Source: RNAcentral
GGGGGCUGGUGAGCGGCGGAGGGUUAGUACGCGUGGGAAUAUGCCCAGAUCUGCGGAAUAGCCUCUGGAAACGGAGAGUAAUACCGCAUACGCCCUUCGGGGGAAAGAUUUAUCGGAUUUGGAUUAGCCCGCGUUGGAUUAGGUAGUUGGUGGGGUAAUGGCCUACCAAGCCGACGAUCCAUAGCUGGUUUGAGAGGAUGAUCAGCAACACUGGAACUGAGACACGGUCCAGACUCCUACGGGAGGCAGCAGUGGGGAAUCUUAGACAAUGGGGGAAACCCUGAUCUAGCCAUGCCGCGUGAGUGACGAAGGCCCUAGGGUCGUAAAGCUCUUUCGCCAGGGAAGAUAAUGACGGUACCUGGUAAAGAAACCCCGGCUAACUCCGUGCCAGCAGCCGCGGUAAUACGGAGGGGGUUAGCGUUGUUCGGAAUUACUGGGCGUAAAGCGCGCGUAGGCGGACUAUUAAGUUAGAGGUGAAAUCCCAGGGCUCAACCCUGGAACUGCCUUUAAUACUGGUAGUCUUGAGUUCGAGAGAGGUGAGUGGAAUUCCGAGUGUAGAGGUGAAAUUCGUAGAUAUUCGGAGGAACACCAGUGGCGAAGGCGGCUCACUGGCUCGAUACUGACGCUGAGGUGCGAAAGCGUGGGGAGCA